This 76-nucleotide transfer RNA is filed under the name Deltaproteobacteria bacterium. Its description in RNAcentral is "tRNA-Asp". It matches the Rfam family "tRNA". Rfam says of the family: Transfer RNA (tRNA) molecules are approximately 80 nucleotides in length. Their secondary structure includes four short double-helical elements and three loops (D, anti-codon, and T loops). Lineage: Bacteria; Pseudomonadati; Myxococcota; Myxococcia. The record is from RNAcentral.
GGCCCCGUGGCUCAGUGGUGAGAGCGCCUGCCUGUCGAGCAGGAUGCCGCGGUUUCGAUUACCGCCAGGGUCGCCA